RNAcentral lists this long non-coding RNA (1571 nucleotides) under Theobroma cacao (cacao). RNAcentral's name for it is "long non-coding RNA (TCAC_LNC002111)". The record is from RNAcentral. Lineage: Eukaryota; Viridiplantae; Streptophyta; Magnoliopsida; Malvales; Malvaceae.
AAUAGUUUAAUACCCAAUCUGAUGUUAAAUCGCUUAAGUUCUUAUGCUUGGCCAUGCUGCCGCACGUCGCCACCGGCCAACGGCUCUGUUGAGCUAGGUCUGUUCUUUUCAUAAAUGGUUGAAAAUUUUCCCUUUCUAUAUUUGUAAUAAUAUAGCAGAAGAUGGAACAAUGGUUGAUAGCGAUUGCUCUCUCUCUCCCUCAGUUUAUUCCAUAAUCCAAUCUUUAUUCUUUAUCAUCUAAGUUUUUAGGCCAAUGACGUCCAUCUAUUUUUUGUCCAACAGAGACUUUAACAAUAUGAUUUUAAACUUUUCAUGCUGGAUUCUUGCACAAAGAUCGAAAAUCUCAAGUUGGGUUCUUCAAAUUUCACUGUUUUUGAAGAUGUCAUACUUCAAUUUGCAAGUAUUAAGCGAUAAAUUGUGGAGUUUGAUGCUGAUGACAAUGAGAAAAAGAGAGAUAGGUGAUGAUGACAGGGAAAGGGGAAAAAGAGAUGAAUGCCAGUUGAGUUCAAAAAAAAUAGAGGAUGGUAAAAAGCACAUCCAGAUGGAAGAGGAAGAAAAUGAUGGUGCUUGAUCUUUUUUAUAGCGAUAAAUUAGUAGAGUGGAACUAAGAGAGAGAAAGAAAAAGAUGCUAUUGGGAAAGCUGGUACCCGGUCUCCUCAAAUAGCAUAGUGACUAAACUUAAAGCGGUCGUUAGCAAAUGACAGUCUCUGUCAUUAUAGCAGGGUCCAAUUUCUUUUGCUUCUAUACUGUGUAGAACGGUCGAAUCCACAAUUUUGAAAGUUGUUCCGUGUUUUUGUUGUUUAAGACACGGUAAAAUAGUCGUUCUCCUGCAUGGAAACUUCUGUUUUUUUUGUCCAAGUGAAUAUUUUAGUUGUUUUCUAUUCCUAAUAUUCUUUUGGAUUAAUGCAUCUUCAUUCAUCCAACAAAAGGCUUACCAUCAUUAUAUAACCCACUUCCCCUAACUGCAUGUAUCUCUUCUCCCCAUAAUUGCAGAAUAUGUGUUCCCAACUCCAGAAUAGAAAGUUGAAUCUGCAUGAAGCUCUGAAACAAGGGUUUGACGUGGAGUAUGAUUUCUACCAAAUUUUCUGUUUGAAAUGCAUGGAUUUGGGUGGGAAAUGCUUUAGAUCAAGUUCAGAUCUGUGAGGAGAGAGGCGAAUCAAAGAGCAGAUUCACUUGCCAAGGAUGGAGUUCAACUGCAGGAUGACAUGUUGAGAGUCUAUGGGAAUGACAGUGGAGAUCCAGCACAAGAAAACCUUGACUUAUGAGUUCAGCAUAGAUUCUUUUCUUUUGCUGAUUCCUAGUACGAAUUUUGGUUCUGUGGGUGGUUCUGGUUUUUGUGUUUGACAAGAUCACUUCUGCCUGUUUGAUUGAGGUUUGUUAACCUCUUUUUGUUUGAUGGGGGAUGCAUAUGCUGUUUUUCUGGGGAAGGCAGGGGUUGGUCUUGUUGCUGCAGAAUUGAUUUUUUUGUGAUUGUGCAGCUUUUCUUGAGGUUUUCUCCUCCUUUUAGAUGUAACUUUGUUUACCUUAUGAAUGAAUUCUGCUUUUCAAAAAAAUAGAUCAAGCUCAGAUCA